This 572-nucleotide small RNA is filed under the name Pan troglodytes (chimpanzee). RNAcentral describes it as "processed transcript". Lineage: Eukaryota; Metazoa; Chordata; Mammalia; Primates; Hominidae. The record is from RNAcentral.
ACGCAUACCUAUCCUACUGUUACUGAUCACCUAGUAAUAAUCACAUUACUCAUUUUUCACCAAAUCCUUUUGGUGAAGGACGCUUCAGAAACGGCCAUCACUGAAGAGCAGACCCGUUUGGGUUCUCCACGCAUUCUAGACUCCCGAAGAGAUAUGUGCUGAUUAGAAGGCUCACUUGUGCAGUGUGGAGGAUAACCAGUGCCUUACAAAAUGGGGUUUGGGAGUGACCUGAAGAAUUCACAUGAAGCAGUGUUAAAAUUGCAAGACUGGGAAUUACGGUUACUGGAAACAGUAAAGAAAUUUAUGGCCCUGAGAAUAAAAAGUGAUAAAGAAUAUGCAUCUACUUUACAGAACCUUUGUAAUCAAGUUGAUAAGGAAAGUACUGUCCAAAUGAAUUAUGUCAGCAACGUAUCCAAGUCUUGGCUACUUAUGAUUCAGCAGACAGAACAACUUAGUAGGAUAAUGAAGACACAUGCAGAGGACUUGAACUCUGGACCUUUACACAGGCUCACCAUGAUGAUUAAGGACAAGCAGCAGGUGAAGAAAAGUUACAUAGGUGUUCAUCAGCAGAU